GAUGAACGCUGGCGGCGUGCCUAAUACAUGCAAGUCGAGCGAACGGACGAGAAGCUUGCUUCUCUGAUGUUAGCGGCGGACGGGUGAGUAACACGUGGAUAACCUACCUAUAAGACUGGGAUAACUUCGGGAAACCGGAGCUAAUACCGGAUAAUAUUUUGAACCGCAUGGUUCAAAAGUGAAAGACGGUCUUGCUGUCACUUAUAGAUGGAUCCGCGCUGCAUUAGCUAGUUGGUAAGGUAACGGCUUACCAAGGCAACGAUGCAUAGCCGACCUGAGAGGGUGAGCAGCCACACUGGAACGGAGACGCGGUCCAGACCACAACGGGAGGCAGCAGUAGGGAAUCUUCCGCAAAGGGCGAAAGCCUGACGGAGAAACGCCGCGUGAGUGAUGAAGGUCUUCGGAUCGUAAAACUCUGUUAUUAGGGAAGAACAUAUGUGUAAGGAACUGUGCACAUCUUGAAGGUACCUAAUCAGAAAGCCACGGCUAACUACGUG
RNAcentral lists this ribosomal RNA (497 nucleotides) under uncultured bacterium. RNAcentral describes it as "partial 16S ribosomal RNA". It matches the Rfam family "Bacterial small subunit ribosomal RNA", at positions 28 to 507 of the family's 1533-position model. The record is from RNAcentral.